GGAAGGCGUUAAGGUUAAUAACCUUGGCGAUUGACGUUACCCGCAGAAGAAGCACCGGCUAACUCUGUGCCAGCAGCCGCGGUAAUACGGAGGGUGCAAGCGUUAAUCGGAAUUACUGGGCGUAAAGCGCACGCAGGCGGUCUGUCAAGUCGGAUGUGAAAUCCCCGGGCUCAACCUGGGAACUGCAUUCGAAACUGGCAGGCUAGAGUCUUGUAGAGGGGGGUAGAAUUCCAGGUGUAGCGGUGAAAUGCGUAGAGAUCUGGAGGAAUACCGGUGGCGAAGGCGGCCC
RNAcentral lists this ribosomal RNA (289 nucleotides) under Acinetobacter baumannii. Its description in RNAcentral is "partial 16S ribosomal RNA". It matches the Rfam family "Bacterial small subunit ribosomal RNA", at positions 443 to 727 of the family's 1533-position model. The record is from RNAcentral. Lineage: Bacteria; Pseudomonadati; Pseudomonadota; Gammaproteobacteria; Moraxellales; Moraxellaceae.